This 253-nucleotide ribosomal RNA is filed under the name uncultured bacterium. RNAcentral's name for it is "partial 16S ribosomal RNA". It matches the Rfam family "Bacterial small subunit ribosomal RNA", at positions 524 to 776 of the family's 1533-position model. The record is from RNAcentral.
UACGUAGGUGGCGAGCGUUGUUCGGAAUCACUGGGCGUAAAGGGCGCGUAGGCGGGGUCGGAAGUCGGGUGUGAAAGCCCCGGGCUCAACCCGGGAACGGCGCCCGAGACUCUGGCUCUUGAGUCCCGGAGAGGCGGGUGGAAUUCCUGGUGUAGCGGUGAAAUGUGUAGAGAUCAGGAGGAACACCGGUGGCGUAGGCGGCCCGCUGGACGGAGACUGACGCUGAGGCGCGAAAGCGUGGGGAGCAAACGGG